Molecule: long non-coding RNA, 937 nt
Filed under: Cricetulus griseus (Chinese hamster)
Lineage: Eukaryota; Metazoa; Chordata; Mammalia; Rodentia; Cricetidae
Description: lncRNA (ENSCGRG00015038191.1)
Source: RNAcentral
AGUGACGUCACCGGUGUAGGUGUUGGGAGCUCCGUGCAGUUGCAGCUUGUAUCCAAUGGCUGUUGCCUAGGAGAUAGGACCGCCCUCUGCCAUCAAGACAGGGAACGUGGAUUUGCUCAUGCUCAGUUGAGUCCUUGUUUAUGUGCAGCUUGCCUAUGAAAAUACAGCUGGCUAACAAGAUUGGUGAUAGAAGCAUGCUCCAUCUACAGAUAUGGCUGUUGGAAGCAAAUGGCUCUAGACUGUGGUUCUCAACCUGGGGGGGGAGAUCCACCUUUUCAUAGGGGGUCACCUAAGACGAUCUUCAAAUCAGUAAACCAGACAACAUGAACCACUCCAUGGCUUUUGCUCAGUGUAAAGUCCCAUGACACGGCCCAUGGAACCACAUCAGAGUCUUUCUACUAUUUUAUCAGGGACUAUCACAGAAGAGAGUGUGGUGAGAUUGUUGGAGUCAGAGAUUGAGAAGAAACAGCUAAACAUGGUCUUCUGGACAUGGCAGGACCACUGCACUCAUGGACACAUGCCAGCUGGGUUUGGCUACACACACCCUGUGUAAGAUCAAGUUAAUCAAUACUCUAGAAUGCAAGAUGGAUGGAUUCAUGAUUCCUAUCCCUAGGGCAGUGAUCUAUGAUGGGACAGAAUGCCAGGUCCUGCGCAUGCUUAGGAAGUUUUCUACCCCUGAGUGACACCAUUAAUUUUUCUUUUAAAUCCUACAUCCUGAAGAAGAAUACAAGAAAAUGAGACCCUUGUUGCUGUAGUUUUCAAAAGACUGACAUGGUUAAUCUUGGAGAGAGAAGACCAAAGAGCCAGGUCUUGAACAAUCGGAGCUGCUCAGACUGCUGUUGCAGCUGCUGGAGAGAUAAGCACUUUGCAAGUGUGCUUCACCACUUCAUUUCCUUAUUUUAUGAAGGAGGCUUCUGCUUGUGUUUGACCUUGGGAU